RNAcentral lists this ribosomal RNA (1464 nucleotides) under uncultured Enterobacter sp. RNAcentral's name for it is "bacterial SSU rRNA". It matches the Rfam family "Bacterial small subunit ribosomal RNA". Lineage: Bacteria; Pseudomonadati; Pseudomonadota; Gammaproteobacteria; Enterobacterales; Enterobacteriaceae. The record is from RNAcentral.
AUUGAACGCUGGCGGCAGGCCUAACACAUGCAAGUCGAACGGUAGCACAGAGAGCUUGCUCUCGGGUGACGAGUGGCGGACGGGUGAGUAAUGUCUGGGAAACUGCCUGAUGGAGGGGGAUAACUACUGGAAACGGUAGCUAAUACCGCAUAACGUCGCAAGACCAAAGAGGGGGACCUUCGGGCCUCUUGCCAUCAGAUGUGCCCAGAUGGGAUUAGCUAGUAGGUGGGGUAACGGCUCACCUAGGCGACGAUCCCUAGCUGGUCUGAGAGGAUGACCAGCCACACUGGAACUGAGACACGGUCCAGACUCCUACGGGAGGCAGCAGUGGGGAAUAUUGCACAAUGGGCGCAAGCCUGAUGCAGCCAUGCCGCGUGUAUGAAGAAGGCCUUCGGGUUGUAAAGUACUUUCAGCGGGGAGGAAGGCGAUAAGGUUAAUAACCUUGUCGAUUGACGUUACCCGCAGAAGAAGCACCGGCUAACUCCGUGCCAGCAGCCGCGGUAAUACGGAGGGUGCAAGCGUUAAUCGGAAUUACUGGGCGUAAAGCGCACGCAGGCGGUCUGUCAAGUCGGAUGUGAAAUCCCCGGGCUCAACCUGGGAACUGCAUUCGAAACUGGCAGGCUGGAGUCUUGUAGAGGGGGGUAGAAUUCCAGGUGUAGCGGUGAAAUGCGUAGAGAUCUGGAGGAAUACCGGUGGCGAAGGCGGCCCCCUGGACAAAGACUGACGCUCAGGUGCGAAAGCGUGGGGGAGCAAACAGGAUUAGAUACCCUGGUAGUCCACGCUGUAAACGAUGUCGACUUGGAGGUUGUUCCCUUGAGGAGUGGCUUCCGGAGCUAACGCGUUAAGUCGACCGCCUGGGGAGUACGGCCGCAAGGUUAAAACUCAAAUGAAUUGACGGGGGCCCGCACAAGCGGUGGAGCAUGUGGUUUAAUUCGAUGCAACGCGAAGAACCUUACCUACUCUUGACAUCCAGAGAACUUAGCAGAGAUGCUUUGGUGCCUUCGGGAACUCUGAGACAGGUGCUGCAUGGCUGUCGUCAGCUCGUGUUGUGAAAUGUUGGGUUAAGUCCCGCAACGAGCGCAACCCUUAUCCUUUGUUGCCAGCGGUUCGGCCGGGAACUCAAAGGAGACUGCCAGUGAUAAACUGGAGGAAGGUGGGGAUGACGUCAAGUCAUCAUGGCCCUUACGAGUAGGGCUACACACGUGCUACAAUGGCAUAUACAAAGAGAAGCGACCUCGCGAGAGCAAGCGGACCUCAUAAAGUAUGUCGUAGUCCGGAUUGGAGUCUGCAACUCGACUCCAUGAAGUCGGAAUCGCUAGUAAUCGUGGAUCAGAAUGCCACGGUGAAUACGUUCCCGGGCCUUGUACACACCGCCCGUCACACCAUGGGAGUGGGUUGCAAAAGAAGUAGGUAGCUUAACCUUCGGGAGGGCGCUUACCACUUUGUGAUUCAUGACUGGGGUGA